Dipodomys ordii (Ord's kangaroo rat) is the source of this 126-nucleotide long non-coding RNA. RefSeq lists it as uncharacterized. Lineage: Eukaryota; Metazoa; Chordata; Mammalia; Rodentia; Heteromyidae. The record is from RefSeq and is a predicted model, not a curated record. The transcript is spliced from 3 exons.
AAGGACAUAGGUAGCAAAAACAAUAAAAGAUUUCUAGCCCACGGAUUGGGAUGUCUUCACUAGCUAUACAACAUACAAGGGUCUCAUAUCUAAAAUAUACAUAGAAUGCAAAAAAUUAAAUCCCCC